AGGUCACCUGGCUAAAUUGUGACGUCAUGCUAUUGUCCGUCAUUGUCGAGGCUAGCUAACGAAGCCCCAUGACACAGAUCUACGUUUGCCAAGAUUAAUAUUUUGAGAACGACUCCAGUUAUCUGCACACGAGCCCAAACGACGUGCAAUAUGCCAGUGGUAAGACGACUCUCUGAGUGUGAGGGGUUUGAUUCCGAAGUGGCUGAGUGUCUAGCUCCAACACAGCCGAAGGAGUUCCACGAUUCGGUUCCAAACUUUAUCACAAUCAAACCAACUCCCAUCCGUCCCGAUCCACCAUUCCAGUGGGACUGCAGUACUGAGGACGACACUCAACUAUCCAAGAAACACGAGCUCCGCGUGCAACUGAUGGCUGCCCUAGCCGAGGUAGAUACUCUCUCCGCUCUGACCUCCAAGAGGCUCGAUUCUGUUCCAGAUGUCUGGAUCUGAAUAACCUACAUCUGCAGACACAAGUCGGACAACUGUCGGGUGAAAUUGCCUCCCUACAGGAACAGGUUCAACGCUUGGUGGAGGAGGUGGACAUGUUGAAAGGGAUUGGACAACGGGCACAUCCAGGACAGGGUGAAGGUGUUGGUCUUGCUCACAAGCCAGUGGCCUUACAGACACUAUCCUUUGGUCGGACCGGCCAAGUACAGAAUGUUAUGUCUGAUGGCCAGGGACAAGUUGUUUCCAAGACCCCAGCUCCCACAAAGUUAUCUGCCAUCAAGAAAGGACUUGUCAACAAGCUCGGCACAUGUGAUAGAAAACAGUAACAGGAAACAUAAUGUACAGAAAUCUGUAUCUUUCUUUAGCGGUUUAGGCAAAAUGUUCGGGAGACACAGAUCGUAACAAUGUAUGUCAAGUCGGUAUUUGCAUUAAACCUUAUCAUACCUAA
Long non-coding RNA from Haliotis rubra (blacklip abalone), 892 nucleotides. RefSeq lists it as uncharacterized. Lineage: Eukaryota; Metazoa; Mollusca; Gastropoda; Lepetellida; Haliotidae. The record is from RefSeq and is a predicted model, not a curated record. The transcript is spliced from 3 exons.